RNAcentral lists this long non-coding RNA (1502 nucleotides) under Struthio camelus australis. RNAcentral describes it as "lncRNA (ENSSCUG00000015501.1)". Lineage: Eukaryota; Metazoa; Chordata; Aves; Struthioniformes; Struthionidae. The record is from RNAcentral.
GAAAUCCUGGAUGCCAAGAAAUGAAAUCCUUUUUUUUUUGACGAGAUCACGGGGGCUGGCCAGCAGCCAGGCGCAAGGCUUUCCACGCAACUUGCCCACGCUGCCCGUUUAGCCCCUUGCUUCCUCCAGGACGGCUUCUCUCGCAUGUAUUUCUGUUCACCACAGAAAGAGGGUUAGAUUUUGAUUCGGCCCAAUAUUUUAGUUUGCACUACACCCUGGAAAAGCUGGUAACUUCUCCUUAAGACCUGUCAGUCUCUGAAUAUAAAUCCCCCUUUGUUGGGGGGGGGUGUGUGAUUUGAGCCGCAUGAUCAGAGUCAGGUGACAACACUGGGCACAAAAACGGAGUAGAAUAAACAGUGAGACCUAGGAGAUUAGCUGUUGAUCUUGCCUUUUGACAAGCUGUGCUGCUCCUCAGAGAAAAAUGAGUGCCUGGCCCUCUCCUCUGCUUUGGAGCUUAACCAUGGUGUGGCUGACAGGUAUUGCUUUAAGCCAGAUGACCACUACCCAGGUCCCUAUCGCCUCAACACCAGCGCCUCCCAGUGCAACGGCCACCCAGGUCCCUCUUGCCUCGACACCAGGGUCCCCUAGUGCAACCACUGUCUCAGCCUCUGCGCCCCCAGUUUCUGCUGCGACGCGCUCGGCUGGAGCGGCGUCCGCCACGCCAACCCUUGCCACGUCUGCGGGAGCGCUGUCUGCUGACCCGAGCACGGGAGCGCCAACUCCAGUUCUGUCCACCUCCCUGGACGUGACAGCACUCGUUUCUGGAAGCGCGACCAGCUCUCGUGUGCCCACAGCAGCACUCACUGGUGCCCCGUCCUUCUCUCCGGCUGCGACUGCGUCUCCCGGCGUCCCAUCAGCAGCUCCGUUCCUCGCCACCUCGGAGCCCUCGGGCUGCAGCAGGGUGAACGUGACAGCGUGCGAGCCUUGUUCCCCGGGGACGUUUCCCAACGAUGGCACCCUGAGCUGCUCGUGCUGUUCGCAGGGCUCCUGCACGGGCCCCGCUGACUGCGUUCCCUGCCCGGUGGGUCACUACCAGCCCCUGAGCGGACAGCAGUCGUGUCUGCCGUGUCCACAGGGGUAUUACACCAGUUUUCGGAGGAGCACCACAUGCUCUCCCUGCCCACCUGGCUCUUACGCUAACGAGUCUGGGGCUGCAGCCUGCAGAGCCUGCCAGAGAGGGUAUUUCAGCGCCCAGCAAAAUGCAGCUUUCUGCCUGCCUUGCCUGCCUGGAUCAUUUUGCAAGAUAAACAGAUGUGUCAGGGUGUGCAGAAAGCAGUAGCUAAACUCUCCUGGCUGCAGUCAUCUUCGUGAUGGAGGAGAAGGUGCCUCCCAGCCAGUGGGGGUACCUAGAGGUGAGUCUGCACCCUGCUAUGGUAAGGCUGCCUGUGCUAAGGGUGCAGAUUUUAAAUUCAAAGUAGAUUAGCUAACUCAUGAAUAUUUAUCCUCCUUCUGACCUUACCUGGAGCUUGCCUGUGCCACAAUGGAUCUCUGCUGAAUUUUUU